RNAcentral lists this long non-coding RNA (830 nucleotides) under Homo sapiens (human). Its description in RNAcentral is "HSALNT0254555". Lineage: Eukaryota; Metazoa; Chordata; Mammalia; Primates; Hominidae. The record is from RNAcentral.
AGCCUCCCAAGUAGCUGGGACUGCAGGCAAAUGCCACCAUGCCCGGCUACAUUUUGUAAAUAUUUUUGUAGAGAUUGGAUCUUGCCAUGUUGCCCAGGCUGGUCUUGAACUCCUGGCCUCAAGCAAUCCUCUCACUUCAGCCUCUGAACGCACUAGGAAUACAGGCAUGAACCACUGUGCCCGGCCGGAUUAGUUUCAUUCAACUAUCGAUUCAGCGAACACUUGAACUCUGCUCUGCCAGGUCCUGUGCCAGGCUCAGGGAUACAGGCGUGUGCAAGAGACGCUGGCCUGGACGCCAUGGGGCUCGCAGUCCACUGUGGGAGUUGGAUAAUAAGUGGUCAAGUAGGUGGGCUGCCUUCAGAUGGUGAUCAAUGGCUGGGUGCUGUUUUACAAUUGAGUCCACACUGGAGGCUCCCUGAGGAGGGACUUUGAGGUUUUGUUUUGUUUGCUUGUUUGUUUUUUUGAGACAGUCUUGCUCUGUCACCCAGGCUGGAGUGUAGAGGCCCUAUCUUGACUCACGGCAACCUUCGUCUCCUGGGUCCAAGCGAUUCUCCUGCUGCAGCCUCCCUGAGUAGCUGGGACUAGAGAGAUGCUCAUGUUACAGAUGGUAACAUGGAGGCCGAGCACAAGGGGUUCAGACGUGGAUUGGACGAAUCUGAGGGCCACGCCAUUAGCCACAUACUGAGUGGAGUGGGCGAAAAGGGCCCAGGUUUAGGUCACCGGGAUAACCAGUGUCCAGAGAUGGACGGCACUUACCUGAGGCCACAGAGCAGGUGAGGAUGAGCCCCAGCGGGAGCGAGUAGCCAGGGAGCCGGCCUGCCUCCUGGGCU